AUUGAACGCUGGCGGCAGGCCUAACACAUGCAAGUCGAACGAGUGGCGGACGGGUGAGUAAUGUAUGGGAAACUGCCCGAUGGAGGGGGAUAACUACUGGAAACGGUAGCUAAUACCGCAUACCAUCAGAUGUACCCAUAUGGGAUUAGCUAGAAGGUGGGGUAACGGCUCACCUAGGCGACGAUCCCUAGCUGGUCUGCUAGGAUGACCAGCCACACUUGAACUGAGACACGUCCCAGACUCCUACGGGAGGCAGCAGUGGGGAAUAUUGCACAAUGGGCGCAAGCCUGAUGCAGCCAUGCCGCGUGUAUGAAGAAGGCCUUCGGGUUGUAAAGUACUUUCAGCGAGGAGGCGUUACUCGCAGAAGAAGCACCGGCUAACUCCGUGCCAGCAGCCGCGGUAAUAC
Molecule: ribosomal RNA, 406 nt
Filed under: uncultured bacterium
Lineage: Bacteria
Description: partial 16S ribosomal RNA
Rfam family: Bacterial small subunit ribosomal RNA
Source: RNAcentral